Molecule: long non-coding RNA, 753 nt
Filed under: Capsella grandiflora
Lineage: Eukaryota; Viridiplantae; Streptophyta; Magnoliopsida; Brassicales; Brassicaceae
Description: long non-coding RNA (CGRA_LNC001353)
Source: RNAcentral
UUACUCACUUCCUCUGUGUGUGUGGCUCAUGAUCCUCAUCUGCAUCAUAUCUUCAAAGUUUGGUUUUGGUCUUUAUAGUCAUCAAGUUCAUGUGGUAUUUUUUAUAAGAAAUGAUGCUUUUUAUAUUGUCCUUCUAACCAAACUCAUUUUGCGUCAACUAGUUUUGUUUGAGAUUUGGAAUAUCGCAAGUACAGUAAAGUAACUAAACCCACUUCCUUAUUAUUAUUAAAAAGAAAGAAAAGAGUUAAUACAUUCAUUAAUACACAAAAUUUGUUGAAAGAUAUUAAAAAAAGUAGUACAAAUUUAUUAUUAUUAUUUCUCUACUUGUGCAAAGCAACAAAAAACUAGUAGUAAAAAUACAGAAGAAACAAUAAUUUCAUCGUUUCAAUACGUUGUAGUGUGAAGAUCUCUCUGUCUCUCUCAUGCAUAAUAAGUCUUCUCUUCUCUGCAAGGAUCUGAGGAAAAAUCUUUGUGACAAAUUAACCUGUAUAGGGUUAAUAUAUAAUAUAUAAAGCUAUUUCUUCUUCUUCUUCCUUCUACAUAUCAUCAUCGAUCUUCUUUAAAUAAUUUAUUAUAACAGAAAGUAAGAUAAGAUUAAGACAAAAGUGAUGAAACCGUAAGCGAAUCCGUUUCUUGCAUCGGAUCCGGACGUGAUAGGUUGCGGCGGAGGGUUGUAGUAGUAGAACGGGAAGUAGGGAACGAUAGGGUUCGGAGGAGGAGUGAAAGGGUAGUUUCCUCCGCUUUUAGGAGGUG